Eptesicus fuscus (big brown bat) is the source of this 788-nucleotide long non-coding RNA. RefSeq lists it as uncharacterized. The record is from RefSeq and is a predicted model, not a curated record. Lineage: Eukaryota; Metazoa; Chordata; Mammalia; Chiroptera; Vespertilionidae. The transcript is spliced from 2 exons.
UUCACUGGACUGUCCAAAGGAACAGGAAUGUGACCCAAAGUGGCCUAAUUAUGUACUUUCAGAACUUGGAACUAGAAAACUCAUAGGGACUGAAGACCAUUGAACAGAGCAACUGAACAGGUUAAGCCUCUUUUUUCUAACAUUAUGUGAAGAAGGAUUAUAAGUGGGAUGCAUCCAAAUGUCUCAGGAAAAGGAUGGUGCUAGCCUCUCAGAGGGAGAAAGCUCAGCGAAGCUUUAUAUUUCCAAUAAAGUCAUCUGAAUCCUUCCUGCCAGAAGGAACUCCAACAUACGCGCAAUACAUCACUGCUGUGAGUUUACUUCAAGCCCAGAAGUACAAGGGGGUGGAUGAACAUUCUUCUGGACUAAAUUCAACAUUAUGGUUCCUGCAAAAUUGACCAUAAGUAAGACACAUGGAAAGUACUUGAGGCUGUAAAAUUGAGGAAGAAUUUGCUGAGCAAUGGCUGUAGAUACUGCUUAUGCAACUGGCAUCUGCUUGAAAAACUGGAUAACGAUAAAAGCUACAGAAAAUUGCAGAGUCUGAAGUGUAUGACGGCGGGGAACUGAAUACAUUGCCCACAUCAGAGUCCCAGCCCUAAGAGGUUAAAAAGAUCUUGGAGAGUCACCUCUUUGAAGUCACAAAUGGCUGAGACAAUGGUCAAAGCAAUGAAAGACAGUCAAGCCACGUUGUAGUUCUUACCUUUAAAAAGCGGGGUGUAGAGAAAGAAAUUCUGUACUUGUUGCCAGAUGGAGCUGUCUUCUGGAAUACGAUUUCAUGCAUUUACCCACAA